This 1024-nucleotide ribosomal RNA is filed under the name Apis mellifera (honey bee). Its description in RNAcentral is "SSU rRNA". It matches the Rfam family "Eukaryotic small subunit ribosomal RNA", at positions 44 to 998 of the family's 1831-position model. Lineage: Eukaryota; Metazoa; Arthropoda; Insecta; Hymenoptera; Apidae. The record is from RNAcentral.
AUUAGCCAUGCAUGUCUCAGUACAUGCCGAAUUAAGGUGAAACCGCGAAUGGCUCAUUAAAUCAGUUAUGGUUCAUUAGAUCGUGGACACAUUUACUUGGAUAACUGUGGUAAUUCUAGAGCUAAUACAUGCAAACAGAAUUCCUCUCAGAGAUGGGAGGAAUGCUUUUAUUAGAUCAAAACCAAUCGGUGGCGGACGGCUCGUCCGUUCGUCCAUCGUUUGUUUUGGUGACUCUGAAUAACUUUGUGCUGAUCGCAUGGUCAUCUAGCACCGGCGACGCAUCUUUCAAAUGUCUGCCUUAUCAACUGUCGAUGGUAGGUUCUGCGCCUACCAUGGUUGUAACGGGUAACGGGGAAUCAGGGUUCGAUUCCGGAGAGGGAGCCUGAGAAACAGCUACCACAUCCAAGGAAGGCAGCAGGCGCGCAAAUUACCCACUCCCGGCACGGGGAGGUAGUGACGAAAAAUAACGAUACGGGACUCAUCCGAGGCCCCGUAAUCGGAAUGAGUACACUUUAAAUCCUUUAACGAGGACCAAUUGGAGGGCAAGUCUGGUGCCAGCAGCCGCGGUAAUUCCAGCUCCAAUAGCGUAUAUUAAAGUUGUUGCGGUUAAAAAGCUCGUAGUUGAAUCUGUGUGUCACAGUGUCGGUUCACCGCUCGCGGUGUUUAACUGGCAUUAUGUGGUACGUCCUAUCGGUGGGCUUAGCUCCUUGCGGGCGGUCCAACUAAUAUCCCAUCGCGGUGCUCUUCACUGAGUGUCGAGGUGGGCCGAUACGUUUACUUUGAAAAAAUUAGAGUGCUUAAAGCAGGCUACCUUUGCCUGAAUACUGUGUGCAUGGAAUAAUGGAAUAGGACCUCGGUUCUAUUUUGUUGGUUUUCGGAACCCCGAGGUAAUGAUUAAUAGGGACAGAUGGGGGCAUUCGUAUUGCGACGUUAGAGGUGAAAUUCUUGGAUCGUCGCAAGACGGACAGAAGCGAAAGCAUUUGCCAAAAAUGUUUUCAUUAAUCAAGAACGAAAGUUAGAGGGU